GGAGAUUAAAGAUUUAUCGGUGAUGGGUGGGGAUGCGUCUGAUUAGCUUGUUGGCGGGGUAACGGCCCACCAAGGCAACGAUCAGUAGGGGUUCUGAGAGGAAGGUCCCCCACAUUGGAACUGAGACACGGUCCAAACUCCUACGGGAGGCAGCAGUGAGGAAUAUUGGUCAAUGGGCGAGAGCCCGAACCAGCCAAGUAGCGUGCAGGAAGACGGCCCUAUGGGUUGUAAACUGCUUUUAUAAGGGAAUAAAGUGAGUCUCGUGAGACUUUUUGCAUGUACCUUAUGAAUAAGGACCGGCUAAUUCCGUGCCAGCAGCCGCGGUAAUACGGAAGGUCCGGGCGUUAUCCGGAUUUAUUGGGUUUAAAGGGAGCGUAGGCCGGAGAUUAAGCGUGUUGUGAAAUGUAGACGCUCAACGUCUGCACUGCAGCGCGAACUGGUUUCCUUGAGUACACACAAAGUGGGCGGAAUUCGUGGUGUAGCGGUGAAAUGCUUAGAUAUCACAAAGAACUCCGAUUGCGAAGGCAGCUCACUGGAGCGCAACUGACGCUGAAGCUCGAAAGUGCGGGUAUCGAACAGGAUUAGAUACCCUGGUAGUCCGCACGGUAAACGAUGGAUGCCCGCUGUUGGUCUGAACAGGUCAGCGGCCAAGCGAAAGCAUUAAGCAUCCCACCUGGGGAGUACGCCGGCAACGGUGAAACUCAAAGGAAUUGACGGGGGCCCGCACAAGCGGAGGAACAUGUGGUUUAAUUCGAUGAUACGCGAGGAACCUUACCCGGGCUUGAAUUGCAGAGGAAGGAUUUGGAGACAACGACGCCCUUCGGGGUCUCUGUGAAGGUGCUGCAUGGUUGUCGUCAGCUCGUGCCGUGAGGUGUCGGCUUAAGUGCCAUAACGAGCGCAACCCCUCUCCUUAGUUGCCAUCAGGUUAAGCUGGGCACUCUGGGGACACUGCCACCGUAAGGUGUGAGGAAGGUGGGGAUGACGUCAAAUCAGCACGGCCCUUACGUCCGGGGCUACACACGUGUUACAAUGGCAGGUACAGAGAGACGGUUGUACGUAAGUACGAUCAAAUCCUUAAAGCCUGUCUCAGUUCGGACUGGGGUCUGCAACCCGACCCCACGAAGCUGGAUUCGCUAGUAAUCGCGCAUCAGCCAUGGCGCGGUGAAUACGUUCCCGGGCCUUGUACACACCGCCCGUCAAGCCAUGAAAGCCGGGGGCGC
RNAcentral lists this ribosomal RNA (1220 nucleotides) under metagenome. RNAcentral's name for it is "bacterial SSU rRNA". It matches the Rfam family "Bacterial small subunit ribosomal RNA", at positions 196 to 1420 of the family's 1533-position model. The record is from RNAcentral.